This 492-nucleotide ribosomal RNA is filed under the name uncultured bacterium. RNAcentral's name for it is "partial 16S ribosomal RNA". It matches the Rfam family "Bacterial small subunit ribosomal RNA", at positions 29 to 507 of the family's 1533-position model. The record is from RNAcentral.
AGUGAACGCUGGCGGUAGGCCUAACACAUGCAAGUCGAACGGCAGCACAGUAAGAGCUUGCUCUUACGGGUGGCGAGUGGCGGACGGGUGAGGAAUACAUCGGAAUCUACUUUUUCGUGGGGGAUAACGUAGGGAAACUUACGCUAAUACCGCAUACGACCUACGGGUGAAAGCAGGGGAUCUUCGGACCUUGCGCGAUUGAAUGAGCCGAUGUCGGAUUAGCUAGUUGGCGGGGUAAAGACCCACCAAGGCGACGAUCCGUAGCUGGUCUGAGAGGAUGAUCAGCCACACUGGAACUGAGACACGGUCCAGACUCCUACGGGAGGCAGCAGAGGGGAAUAUUGGACAAUGGGCGCAAGCCUGAUCCAGCCAUACCGCGUGGGUGAAGAAGGCCUUCGGGUUGUAAAGCCCUUUUGUUGGGAAAGAAAAGCAGCAGGUUAAUACCCCGCUGUUCUGACGGUACCCAAAGAAUAAGCACCGGCUAACUUCGUG